AGCCUCUACUGUAAACACAUUUCUUCUGAACUUUUAUUACAGGUAGACUUCAGUCGAGCUUCUUCGUAGUCGGAUCCCAGAUGAGCUUCUACAAUGGGACAGGAUCCACCGGCCAGGUCACUACUCCGAGCUCCCACGACAAUCGAUCUUCGACUGAGCUUCUACAAUAAGCGAUCUCCUUUCAACCUUCUACAAGAACUAGACUCUGUCCGAACUCCUAUAGUGGAUG
RNAcentral lists this long non-coding RNA (229 nucleotides) under Elaeis guineensis (African oil palm). RNAcentral's name for it is "long non-coding RNA (EGUI_LNC067529)". The record is from RNAcentral. Lineage: Eukaryota; Viridiplantae; Streptophyta; Magnoliopsida; Arecales; Arecaceae.